GAGGGUGUAGCUCAGUGGUAGAGUGCGUGCUUAGCAUGCACGAGGUCCUGGGUUCAAUCCCCAGUACCUCCU
This 72-nucleotide transfer RNA is filed under the name Camelus bactrianus (Bactrian camel). It matches the Rfam family "tRNA". Rfam says of the family: Transfer RNA (tRNA) molecules are approximately 80 nucleotides in length. Their secondary structure includes four short double-helical elements and three loops (D, anti-codon, and T loops). Lineage: Eukaryota; Metazoa; Chordata; Mammalia; Artiodactyla; Camelidae. The record is from Rfam by way of RNAcentral. RNAcentral also lists the same sequence under 2 other names.